GAUGAACGCUGGCGGCGUGCCUAAUACAUGCAAGUCGAGCGAACGGACGAGAAGCUUGCUUCUCUGAUGUUAGCGGCGGACGGGUGAGUAACACGUGGAUAACCUACCUAUAAGACUGGGAUAACUUCGGGAAACCGGAGCUAAUACCGGAUAAUAUUUUGAACCGCAUGGUUCAAAAGUGAAAGACGGUCUUGCUGUCACUUAUAGAUGGAUCCGCGCUGCAUUAGCUAGUUGGUAAGGUAACGGCUUACCAAGGCAACGAUGCAUAGCCGACCUGAGAGGGUGAUCGGCCACACUGGAACUGAGACACGGUCCAGACUCCUACGGGAGGCAGCAGUAGGGAAUCUUCCGCAAUGGGCGAAAGCCUGACGGGGCAACGCCGCGUGAGUGAUGAAGGUCUUCGGAGCGUAAAGCUCUGUUAUUAGGGAAGAACAUAUGUGUAAGUAACUGUGCACAUCUUGACGGUCCCUAAUCAGAAAGCCACGGCUAACUACG
Molecule: ribosomal RNA, 495 nt
Filed under: uncultured bacterium
Lineage: Bacteria
Description: partial 16S ribosomal RNA
Rfam family: Bacterial small subunit ribosomal RNA
Source: RNAcentral